This 433-nucleotide ribosomal RNA is filed under the name uncultured bacterium. Its description in RNAcentral is "partial 16S ribosomal RNA". It matches the Rfam family "Bacterial small subunit ribosomal RNA", at positions 29 to 507 of the family's 1533-position model. The record is from RNAcentral.
AACGAACGCUGGCGGCAGGCCUAACACAUGCAAGUCGAGCGCGCCCUUCGGGGUGAGCGGCGGACGGGUGAGUAACGCGUGGGAACGUGCCCUUUUCUACGGAAUAGCCUCGGGAAACUGAGAGUAAUACCGUAUACGCCCUUUGGGGGAAAGAUUUAUCGGAAAAGGAUCGGCCCGCGUUGGAUUAGGUAGUUGGUGGGGUAAUGGCCUACCAAGCCGACGAUCCAUAGCUGGUUUGAGAGGAUGAUCAGCCACACUGGGACUGAGACACGGCCCAGACUCCUACGGGAGGCAGCAGUGGGGAAUCUUAGACAAUGGGGGCAACCCUGAUCGAGCCAUGCCGCGUGAGUGAUGAAGGCCUUAGGGUUGUAAAGCUCUUUCAGCUGGGAAGAUAAUGACGGUACCGGCAGAAGAAGCCCCGGCUAACUCCGUG